Drosophila pseudoobscura is the source of this 402-nucleotide long non-coding RNA. RefSeq lists it as uncharacterized. The record is from RefSeq and is a predicted model, not a curated record. Lineage: Eukaryota; Metazoa; Arthropoda; Insecta; Diptera; Drosophilidae. The transcript is spliced from 3 exons.
GGCAUUCAAGUUAAGUAAUUUUUUGUUUUUAUAUUUGUUGGCUUUUAUUGAAUAUAAUUAUUUUAUUUUCAAGUUGAUUCCCUGGGUGUUGUGUUGGGAUGUCUUCUGGUUGCUUGCUUAGUUGCUGACGUUUUAAAUUUUGUUUUAUUUUCUGGUUUGCUGCAGAUUUGGUAAGUGUUCUGAAUUGUAUUUUGGCUGAAUUUAAUUUUAUUUUAUUUGCAGGUUUAUAUUUUGUAGGUUUGGUGGUAAAUUGUCGGCAUUCAAUUGAUUCCCUGGAUGUUGUGUUGGGAUGUCUUCUGGUUGCUUGCUUAGUUGCUGACGUUUUAAAUUUUGUUUUAUUUUCAGGUUUGCUGCAGAUUUGGUUUAUAUUUUAUAGGUUUGGUGGUAAAUUGUCGGCAUUCA